This 697-nucleotide ribosomal RNA is filed under the name Streptococcus sp. HGH0005. RNAcentral describes it as "bacterial SSU rRNA". It matches the Rfam family "Bacterial small subunit ribosomal RNA", at positions 65 to 748 of the family's 1533-position model. Lineage: Bacteria; Bacillati; Bacillota; Bacilli; Lactobacillales; Streptococcaceae. The record is from RNAcentral.
CGCUGAAAGAGGAGCUUGCUCUUCUUGGAUGAGUUGCGAACGGGUGAGUAACGCGUAGGUAACCUGCCUUGUAGCGGGGGAUAACUAUUGGAAACGAUAGCUAAUACCGCAUAACAAUGGGUGACUCAUGUCAUUUAUUUGAAAGGGGCAAAUGCUCCACUACAAGAUGGACCUGCGUUGUAUUAGCUAGUAGGUGAGGUAACGGCUCACCUAGGCGACGAUACAUAACCGACCUGAGAGGGUGAUCAGCCACACUGGGACUGAGACACGGCCCAGACUCCUACGGGAGGCAGCAGUAGGGAAUCUUCGGCAAUGGGGGCAACCCUGACCGAGCAACGCCGCGUGAGUGAAGAAGGUUUUCGGAUCGUAAAACUCUGUUGUAAGUCAAGAACGAGUGUGAGAGUGGAAAGUUCACACUGUGACGGUAGCUUACCAGAAAGGGACGGCUAACUACGUGCCAGCAGCCGCGGUAAUACGUAGGUCCCGAGCGUUGUCCGGAUUUAUUGGGCGUAAAGCGAGCGCAGGCGGUUUGAUAAGUCUGAAGUUAAAGGCUGUGGCUCAACCAUAGUUCGCUUUGGAAACUGUCAAACUUGAGUGCAGAAGGGGAGAGUGGAAUUCCAUGUGUAGCGGUGAAAUGUGUAGAUAUAUGGAGGAACACCGGUGGCGAAAGCGGCUCUCUGGUCUGUAACUGACGCUG